GAUUCCAUGGUGUAAUGGCAGCACAUCAGGUUUUGACCCUGGCAGCGCUCGUUCGAUUCGGGCUGGAAUCAC
This 72-nucleotide transfer RNA is filed under the name Tupanvirus deep ocean. Its description in RNAcentral is "tRNA-Gln". It matches the Rfam family "tRNA". From Rfam's summary of the family: Transfer RNA (tRNA) molecules are approximately 80 nucleotides in length. Their secondary structure includes four short double-helical elements and three loops (D, anti-codon, and T loops). Lineage: Varidnaviria; Bamfordvirae; Nucleocytoviricota; Megaviricetes; Imitervirales; Mimiviridae. The record is from RNAcentral. RNAcentral also lists the same sequence under 1 other name.